AGCAGGUCAAGAGAGAUAUAGGACAAUUACUACAGCUUAUUAUCGGGGUGCCAUGGGCUUUAUUCUAAUGUAUGACAUCACCAAUGAAGAAUCCUUCAAUGCUGUGCAAGAUUGGUCAACUCAAAUCAAAACGUACUCUUGGGAUAAUGCCCAGGUUAUCUUGGUUGGGAACAAAUGUGACAUGGAAGAUGAGCGGGUCAUCUCAACAGAGAGAGGCAAACAUUUAGGAGAGCAGCUCGGGUUUGAAUUUUUUGAAACAAGUGCCAAGGACAACAUAAAUGUCAAGCAGACAUUUGAGCGCCUCGUGGAUAUCAUCUGUGACAAAAUGUCAGAAAGUUUGGAGACAGAUCCUGCCAUCGCGGCUGGAAAGCAGAAUACAAGACUCAAAGAAUCCCCACCACCACAGCAGCCCAACUGUGGCUGUUAAUGGAGCCGCUGGCCAAGGCAGCACUAGUGCGUUCUAUUGCCAAAAAACAGCAUCCGUAAAUGGUCUAUUAGCCUUUAUUUAUACUGUCUAUUAAUUUAUUUGAGGGAAGUCCUUGAUGUCAAUGGGUGAUAUGUGCAUACAGCUCUUUGGAAAUUUCCUGUGUCAAUACGUGGCAAAUACAUGAUCUUAAAUUUGUAAGGAUUAUCCAUUUAUCAACCUCUGAUAUCUGCAUGUGAAUAGUUGUUUGUUCGUCUUCUGAGUCUUUUACUUUUUUUUUUAAGGUUAUACUAGAUUCAUCUGGUGCCAUGACGUCAGACUAUAAUUUUACUGCUGCUUCUGAUUGCUUCAUCAAAUUCAAAUUAUGCUGCUCAUGAUCACUCUGUGGGGCAAUGAUAGGGUAUCCUUGGUGGGGGUGGGGAGAGUAGAAAAGAAGGCAACAAAGCCUCUGUGUUUUGUUUGCUUUCCUCUUGACUAAAAAUCAAUUCUGAAAUAUUACUGGUAAUUAAGGAGACAGUCACUGGGGCUGGUUAUCUUACGUAUUAAGCAAUGUGUCCAUUUUUCACUGAUAUUAAAACUAAGGGGAAUAUUGAUUCUAAAGAAAUACAAAUAUUAUUUCCAUAACCCUCAGGUGUUGUAUGAGGUUCAGUGGUUAACCUGGCAGAAAAUUGAAUUUAAAUAACUAUUUGUUUCUUGUUGUUGUUAAAACAGCUACUGCUACAACAAAAUGAAACAUGCCACCUUUGCUUAAAACGAGGCUAAACCAUGGCAACUGUUUCUACUGGUUUUAUGCAUCACUCUGAAUGAUUGGGUCACUGGGUAAAUGGAGGCAUGAUUAUGGAAUUCCAUAGCUCUGCAGAAAGCACUUUGACUGAGACAAGGUGAAUUGUUGAGGCCUCCGAUGUGUUAGACAAAACUACCCUUCCUUUCCCUCUCCCCUCCCAUUUCCCCUCACCCAAUCUGGAACAAACCCAUUCAUCUGGGCCUGGGUCAACUCAGUCAGCAUUCAGGUCAAGCAGUUCUGACUGUAGGAUCAGUGAGAGCUUGAGGGCACAAGGAUUAAGGUUCGAGUUUUGUCUUCCGAUCUGGGAAAACCUUUUCUCUGCCUUCUUACCGCUUGUUUCUAUGGUUGUCUCAGAAGUCUUUUUGUUUGGGGAGGACAUGUUUAGGUGGUUUCUGAAACCAAUCUGGGCCUUCCCUUCAAGAUGAUUUGGGUGAUGCAAACAUGGCUUCCAAGAGAUGAAACAGAGCUUACCUCUGCCUUCAAGGCCUGGAUGUUUGGAAUACUGGCACCCCACCUUAUCUCCAUCUUCAUACCAUGGGGCUUCACAAACCAAAAAAAAAAAGUGUUAAUUAACUAAAAGAUCUUGAAGACAUUCUCUAGAGCUCAGUUUUGUGCAUAUUGUUUCACAAAUAUUUUGAAGGAAGAAGAGGAGCCAAAUGCCUAGAUCCCUACUCCCAAGUGUCCCAGAUUUUUUGAAGAUGUAGAUGUUAAUGGCCUACAACCCACUGUGUUAAGUAUAACAAUUCCAUAUCUCAUUGUGCUUGCUUAUUGACAACUAGGAUCUGUGAGGGAUAUAGGAAGACAGGACCCUUAUUAAGGGUUUGGAAGACAGUUCUAUUAGGGAGCUUGCAAUUUGUUUAGUUUUGCCACCUGAGGAGGUGAUUAUUAACCUAGGAUAUGUGGGAUUCUUUACAGAGUGAAAGGAUUCUUUGCUUUUACUGUGGAAUCAUACCCAGCAUGAAUUUCAAAAUCAGAGACCCUUCCUCUGACAGGGUUUCAUGGGUGUGUGUGAGUGUGUGUGUGUGUGUGUGUGUGUGUGUGUGUGUGUGUGUGGUCCAGAAAAGCCAUAGAUAGAAGAAAAACUGGCCACAGUUUUUUUUUCCUGAAAGGGCUCAGAAAACAUUUAAAAAAACUCACGUCAUCUAGAAUUGGGUCUUAUAAUUCAGUUGAAAAUCAAAGGUUAUGGAUAACCAGAGUUAAAAGUUAGAAAUAUUUUUUACUUCACUGAUUUCUGCAUCAGCAGUUUAUUAUGCCCUUAAUUAAUGGUAAUGUCUCCAUUUGACAACCUGCAAGGUAUCUCUGGACCAUAAAGAAACAUUUGCUUUUCACUGUUUUAUAUAGCAAUGAUUGUUUUUGAAUGCUUUGAACUCUUCAAGGUGAAGAGAAAGCUAGUUUGGGAAUACAACAGGUAGGUUUGCAACUGCAUGACCAGGUUUCUCAACAUCAGAAUCACAGUACUUAUUAACAGCUGCAUUUGUGUGUGACUUGCUAGAUAUUGCUGGACAGUUGAAAAAAAAUAGUUCCUGGCCUUGAGUUACUUUUACAAUCUAUGAAAUAACAAAAAUAAGACAUGCUUUUUUUUUUACCUUUAAAUACAAAAGAAUUAGAGAUGGCAUUUUAGACAGACAUUUUGGAGGGACCAUUUCCUCUGCAUUAAAAUGAGAGAGUAAAGGGCACAGCAUCAGGCUCAUAGUAGACACCUUAUAAAUGUUUGCUGAAUACAUGAUAUCGUAAAGGAAAAUGGUCCAGUUUUCCCGUUUUGGAUGUCCCCUUCCCUGCAAACAAAAUACCAAAUGUCAAUGGAAACAGACUCCCUCUUGGAGCAGGUAGUCAGGAGUGAGAUGCCCUGUGUCUAUACCAUGCUAAACAUCACAUGUGUGAGUUUAGAGGCCUGGGUACCUGCAGUCUGUCUCUUUACUAAGGAGCGUUUGACCUUGCUACUAUAGAUGCAACUACUACUACCCACUUUCAUUCAGCUGUGAAUUUCCCAAACACGGAUGGAUUCUGAGCUAUUCUUUCUCACCUUCCAUUAUGCAGCUCAAAUCCCAGGGUAGAUUCAGUUUUUUAUAGUUGAAUGGAAAGUGUCAAGAGCUGGUUGGCACCGCCCUGAAAUGAGUUGCAAAACCCAUGAGAAAUGCCGGAUUGUGGUUAUUUUAGUGGUUUUUUUUCUUUUACUCCUGGUCUUAUCCAGAGGUCCUGGCUUUAAAACCAAACACAACACAUGGAGAAACUGGCUUGAAGUGAAUUGAGUGAGUUUCUAUAAACAAUGUCCUACGUUUUAUGUAAUAUAUGAUUUUCUAUCCCCAUGGUUUUAUAAUCUAGUUCUCUCCUUUUUACCCCAGAGAGUGUUAACUGUUCACUUAACUUGACUUAUUUAGGGAAAUAACUUGAUGUGUGUACAUAUAUUCCUUAGUUGCCAGAAACUUAGGUAAUGUCAGCUACAGAACUGUUGGACAUUUGUAUCUCAGAGACUAUUAAGGACAGUCACUUGGGAGGUAUAGCAUAUUUGGGGCCUGUGGAUAGCUACUGGCACAGCCUCAGUUCACAUCCUUUCCUGCCAUGUGUAUUGAUGUUAGCAUGUCAUAGAAGUCCUCAUGUUGGAGACUAGAAGACCUGAAUUCAAAUCUUGCCUCUUGACAUGUACUGAUUAAGUGACCUAGUAAAUCAUUUAACUCCUCAACAUCCUAGGCAACUCUCUCAAACCAUCAGUUGCAGAGAAGGUGCCAAUAUGCAUUGGAAAAGGCAGUUUCCUCACCCAGGAAUUCCCUUUACCAAUGAAAUCACUCAUCUAGUCCCUAUACCUAUGUAAAUACAUUAGACAGAUACUUUUUACUUUAUUCCAAGCCUCAAUUGUUUACCUGUAAGGGAGAGAAUGAGGAUAAGAACAUGUAUGCAAAAUAACUUGAAUUUAAAUUGGAAAAGACUCUAAACUCCUCAGAAAAGUCUGCUGUUGCACUGUUAGGUAGAGGUAGGGUUUUUUUAGACCUCUUCUGACCCUCCCCUCACCCCAAAGUAAAGUAAAAUAAAAUAAAAUAUAUGCAACCCAACUAUGAGAAAGCAAUGCUGCCAAACAGUAAUUUUUUUUUAAAGAAUGCUAUGCCUGCUUUUAUAUACUUCAGUCCUGGCUUUCAUUUUCUGCUCAUCACCUCUGGGAUGAGUCAGACCACACUUCACAAGUGAAUCUACCUAAUUCUCUCCAUCCCCCUCCAAAAGAGAGACAGAGACAGACAAACAGAGAGCUAGAGACAGACAGACAAAGCUCAAGUAUUUCAGAAAUAUAUUUCUAAGAGCCUGAAUACUGAUCUAGUGAAUAUGCAGGACUGGACAUCUACUACCUAAUCAUCUCAUCAAAUAACCACAUGUAUGGAGAUCUCAGCACUGCUGUGUUCAAGCCUGGAUGGGUCUGAAGGUACAUGAGAUAUUUUCUUCAACUAAGUUUUAAGAUGAUAAUGAAGCUUGUCUUCUGUAGACAUUAAACAAGAUUUGCUUUGAGCCGGCUCAACUGAUCCCUCCCUAGUCUACCCAAAAGAUUCAUCUUGCUGCCACUGCUCUUUCUCUGAACAACCUCUACUUCCCUGAUGGAUUUUUAAGGCAUCAGGAUUAAAGGGUUUUCAGAAAAAUGGUCCACUUCCUAUGAAUUCCUUUCUGCUGCAACAUCAUUAGGCAUAUGUAUCAGUGUUGCGAUUUUUAUUUUUAAAGGAAACUGAGUGUGCCUUCCUUUGUGAACAAAUGAUAGCAUUAACAUAUGGUAAAUGUGGAAUGCAACAGCUAUAAAAUUACCACCUAAUUACAUGGGAGACCAAUAAUUAGAAUACACCAAUAUAUAUUUUUAUGUUUUACCUUUAUGCAGAUAAUUUGUAGACGUUUUAGUCAGAGUAUUACCUUGCCUUUUACUUGGGGUGUGUGUGUGUGUGUGUGUGUGUGUUAUGUAUACACAUGUGUAUUGUGGGGGUACCUAUUUAAAUCUCUGGAACUUGUUACAUAACUUUGUAAAUGAAGUCCAUUCCUCAUGCUCAUUCCACUCACCCGACUUGGGUCCUAUGCUUCAAGUUGAACUUUCAUAAAGUAACAUCUCCUGCAGACAAUCAUUACCAAACCCUGGCUCAUUACCUAGUGCUUUAUCCCAGGGUAGGUGUCUUAGUGCAUGAUCAUAAUAUAGUAUGCAGUCAUCGUAUGCUAGACAGAAAUGCUGCAACAUGAGUUUAAUCAAGCCAGCAGCAUUUGUGUGACUACAGCACCCAUUUAUUAGAAAGAUAUCUGAGCCCUAACAAACUAAGGUAGCAACCCCAUGCAUAGAACCAUAAUCCAAGUUGCAUUGUAAAAGUCCUCAUAGUCCCCAAAGUCCCUUUGUGUGCACGCAUGUUGAUAUUUCUAGAUCUGAAAGGGCUUUCCCUGUGUGCAUGACUAUUGAUUGAAGCUCUGCUCCAAUUAGAGUGUAGAAUAUGAUACUGCUUGAACAACCAAAUCUCAAAAGCCUUUUCAACCAGACAUUAGGAAGAUCAAGUCUUUGUUCAGCUCUGCCUACCCAGGUGCAACACACCUUAUUUAAUUUAGAGAGAGAGCAUUAUGGAGUUUCUGGUGAGCACAGGCUUUUGGUAUUGGGUCCAGCAUUGAGACUGAUUUUGAUUUCAGGUAGACUUCUGGGCAGCCAAGUCUAAAUCACAGCCCAGGAUUGGAUUAGGACAUUGGAGAGAUGAGGAAGCAGAUGGCCCUAACACCCCAUAUUAAGCAUCCCAGGCUUCAGGACCUCCCACUCCCCCAGGAGAAAAUUUAUGCCUUUCUGCCUGGUGGGCUCAUCUAACUCUGCCCACCCCACUUAUCCUCCUCCUUUCAAUGUUAAGUGAUGGUUCUCCCUAGAAAACUUCAAAAGAAAUAUUUCAAAGUGAGAAUCAAAAGAUCUGUUCCUUGAAAAAAAUUAAAGAUUCCCUUUUCAACCACCUUCCCCACUUUAAAAAAUAGAAACAAUUCUAUGAAGGGUAGUUACAGUGAAAAAGAGGGGAUAACUUCAAGUUCUUCUCAAUCCAUAAAAGAUCCAUUACAUUCCUACUACAAUUUCUUCUUUAAGCAAAACAGAUAAAUGUGGCUUGUCUCUUGUUGCUGACUUAAUAGGGAGGGGAGGGCAGCUUUAGCUUCAGGGUUAAACUAUGCAAAGACCAGUCAGUUUUCAUUUAACUGAAAUGCUGCCUGGGACAGGACUUCUGUCUAAGUAAAGAACCCUGAUGUGGGGCUGCAGCAAUGGGUCUCAAUUAUGGGUUGAUUUGAUGUGAUUAUACACAGUGUUCACAUGUGCAUAACCAACUCCCACUGAGUGCAGAAGGUAGAAGGAAGACAAGGAAUGCCAAUAAUAUUCUAGAGAAUGCAAGGGAAUUUUUUCUGGCCCUCCAAUUUAUGUUUUAAAAUGAACAUUUUUUUCAGGGCACAAAAUUCAAAUUACAUUUACAUCUUAUUAGCACCUAUUCAUUUCCAGAAAACAUGGAAAUUUAUUAGUAAAAUGAAUUUGAGGGAUUAUCUGUGCAUUUAAUUAAUAAAUGUAAUCCUUGCUUGCCACUAUUGCUGAUAAUUCAGAGUUAGUUGUAGUCCUCUUCCACCCACCCCAAACUUCUCAAUUCCUGAUUUUUGUCAAACUGGGACCCUCUUGGGUCAAGUCCGCAGGCCCUAGGAAUGCUGCUCUUAGAGACAGCAUGAGCAGAUGGUCUGCGGUUUGCACACAGAUACCUGGCAUUUCAGAGGAGAGAAUGUGUCCUAAUGUUGUCUAGCAGUUUUCAUGUCAUGAAAACAAAAUCUGGUAAUCACUUGCUGUUUCACUGAAUGGCUUGCCACAGGUAGUCCCCCUGUCCCUGUGAAUGAAUGUGGAACAAAAACUGUUUGUCCUAUAAUUCCUGUUAAUAUAUUGUUGUCAGACGUGAUGUGCUACUUUUUGAAUUGUCAGAACGUGCAACUAUUUAAUGGUGUUUGUGGAACUGAAGUGUCUUAAAUGUUGCAUGAAAUAUGUUAUAAAAAUAAAUUUGUUUUCUAUUUUUCAACACCUCUAAAUUGAGGGUUCAUGGGCCAAUAAGUGCAAUAUUUAAUGACUUACUCAGUGUAUAUAAACUAGUGUGAAAGGAUGAAUUCUAAUGAAUGCUUGGGGUGUGAUUGCUGGUUGAGUGACUGAUACAAAAGAUUUAUUGUAGUUGUGUAUGUCUAGUGGUGUGUUUUAUACAGAAAAUACUUUUAUUGGUGUUCCAUGAGACUUCCAUGCCUCACCUCAACUAUUCUUCCUAUAGAAGGCAAAACUUUCCCAGGUGCACAUCAGUUUUAUCUUUUACAUUUGUGGGUAUUCUUUUCCAAACAGAAUGACAGUAGAAUGCUGUUUUUGUUGAGUAGGGUUUUUUUGGGGGGAGGGGGGGAACAGGGGAAGAGGAGUAACUGUGAAGGUUUGUUUUUUCCCCCUAAGCCCAAAGUUGUCCUUUAGUUUCUGGUUGGAUGAUGCAAAUUAUUGAUAAAUACUAAAUCCAGUGACCCAGGAAAAAUUAAAUACUGCUCUUCAGGGAAGGAGAAACUUGGUCUUUGAAUGACUGAUGACAUACUUUGUCUUCUAAGAAUUUUUACUAUUACAAUUAUUUUUGUUUUCACGGUUACAAUUAUUCAAUAAUAUGGUAGGUUCCCCCUCCCCACCCUGCUCAACACACACACUAGGAACCUUGGACAGAGCAUUCUCUUAGAUGGUAUGGGGUAUAAUCACUGUCAUUCAUUGUCCACACUAAUGAAAACUUGAGACUCAGAGCAUCUUUAAAUAUUUUGGAAGGUAGUCGAUAACCACUGUCCCUACUCAUUCACCUUUGGUUUUCCAUAUCUUAGCUAGCUUCUCAGCUUUUGGCCUGGAGUUUCAUUAAAGAGCAAAGAGAGCCACUCUGUUUACAAAUAACUCAUUUACAGAAUAACGAAUUGCCCGUAAUUUAGUUACCUGGAGUACAAAUGCAAAGUACACCAACUACCUUAAACUCUUAUUUCCCUUAUGCUACUUCAGUCCUAAGAAAUGAAUAAAUCAGAUCUUUGUGCAAUACUUCUAGUCAACACAAUAAGUCCCAUUAAAGGAAAUUUGGUGUAGUGGAUAGAGUAGCCUCAGGGUCAGGAAGACCUGAGUUCAAGUCCCACUUCUGAUGCACACUAACUAGUGGCCCUGGGCUUUCUGUAGCCCAGGAAACUUUCUAAGACUGUAAGUCCCAGAUGAAUGGCUAUUCUGUACCCAUGGAGGGAGUUUCCACUCUGGGAGUUUCUCACAUGGAUAAGAUUGCAGAUCUAGACUCCCCUCUUCCCCUAAAAAAAAAAAAAUGAUGUCUUAUGCUCUUCAGAACAGUAGUAAAUUUUCUGUGAUACACUGAAACUAUUGCAGGAUAAGUUGUUUCUCCUUUGAUCCAUAAACAUCUCUAAACAAUUAUACCUUGUGUUUUCCCUGACACAUCAUAAAAUGGGAACCUAAAGGCAGCAAAUUGCUUUAAACCAUGUUGGCCAAUCCCAAGGAUUAGCCAAACCACUGUGAAAUUGUUCCUUGCAUUUUGUACCUAGUCCUCAACUGCACUGAAUAAAGUGUACACAAAAUAAAAGAUAAUAGGAAACUUGUACCCCAUCCUACCCCCUACGCCCUGAAAAAAAAAAGUAGAGAAUCUUAGGAAUAGACAGGUUCUUAUUUUAAAGAUGCAGACAAAGAAUUUAAUAGACUACAUAAAUUUAUUCAGCACCUACUACUUGUUCAGCACAGUAUCCAGCAUUAUGGAACAGCAAAGCAUAAAAUAUGGUCUGGGACAUCAAAUUUACAAUUAAGUUGGAAAGUCAAGAAUUAUGGCUACAAUGACACUUAGCACACAAUACAAGAUAGUAGCUAGUACAGACCACAAGUGUGUAGGCUGUGAGGAGUCCAUUAGGGAUAGAAUACUGAGGAACAGCUUCAUGCAGACAGCAGGAUGAUCCAGGCUUUGAAUGAGUGGAGAUAGCUAGGGAGAUAGAAGGGAGAAGUGUUCUAAGUAGUAGAAGUAAGCAAAGUCUUACAGUCAUAGCAGAAGUGAUCCAAUUGGCUUUCUAAAGAAUCCUUGAAUUAUCUAUUCAGUUUAACUGUCUCAGCUGACCCAGUGAAUUCAAUAGGAAGGAAAUCUUACCAUUCUAGUCUACAAGGUAGGCCCAGUGGCUGGCAGAAAAUGUGGACUGCUUCCAAACAAGUCUUUAAGCAUGGCAGCAAAUGGCUUUCUUCCCUUGCUAAUGCAAUUAUCCAAGAGAUCCAAGGUAAUAUGACUUAGACAAGCAUAUUAUGGUAUCCAUUAUUUGACUAUAAUGCUGUAUGACUAUGAAAUGGGGAAAGGGGGUAGGCUAAGACCAAAUGGCUCCUUUUACAGCACUUUCAGUUUCUUGUCAAAGAUGGAUUUUUCUGAAUUGUUUUUAAGAAAAUGUUAUACUACUCACUUCUAAUAUAUGUGUGGUGGUUGUGAUCCAACUCUUACUACUGCCAUAUAGUGAUUGUGAUUUUAAAUUGUGAGUUUAAACACACUGCUGAGUAGCAAAUGUCAUGGCUCUUCUUAUGUCCACAGGAAUUCUUGUCUGGAUGUAAAUCAAUGAGAUUUCUUCACAUGUGGAGUUUUAAUUCUUUGUUGAAAUUAGUUCUGUAAAAACUGUGUGUGCUACAUUGGGUGUUCAGUUUGUUUGUGAAUUCUGUAGAACAAAAUGUCUUUUGUUCAUUGGAUUUAUUUUAUUUUUUGGAGAUGACAAUAAAUAUCUGAGAGACUAUAUUCCUGAA
Non-coding RNA from Phascolarctos cinereus (koala), 9972 nucleotides. NCBI's taxonomy places the organism in Eukaryota, Metazoa, Chordata, Mammalia, Diprotodontia, Phascolarctidae. The record is from RefSeq and is a predicted model, not a curated record.